RNAcentral lists this ribosomal RNA (451 nucleotides) under uncultured bacterium. Its description in RNAcentral is "partial 16S ribosomal RNA". It matches the Rfam family "Bacterial small subunit ribosomal RNA", at positions 354 to 796 of the family's 1533-position model. The record is from RNAcentral.
GUGGGGAAUAUUGGACAAUGGGCGGAAGCCUGAUCCAGCCAUGCCGCGUGUGUGAAGAAGGCCUUUUGGUUGUAAAGCACUUUAAGCGAGGAGGAGGCUCCUUUAGUUAAUACCUAAAGUGAGUGGACGUUACUCGCAGAAUAAGCACCGGCUAACUCUGUGCCAGCAGCCGCGGUAAUACAGAGGGUGCGAGCGUUAAUCGGAUUUACUGGGCGUAAAGCGUGCGUAGUCGGCUUUUUAAGUCGGAUGUGAAAUCCCUGAGCUUAACUUAGGAAUUGCAUUCGAUACUGGGAAGCUAGAGUAUGGGAGAGGAUGGUAGAAUUCCAGGUGUAGCGGUGAAAAGCGUAGAGAUCUGGAGUAAUACCGAUAGCGAAGGCAGCCAUCUGGCCUAAUACUGACACUGAGGUGCGAAAGCAUGGGGAGCAAACAGGAUUAGAAACCCUUGUAGUCC